Molecule: transfer RNA, 75 nt
Filed under: Fibrobacterales bacterium
Lineage: Bacteria; Pseudomonadati; Fibrobacterota; Fibrobacteria; Fibrobacterales
Description: tRNA-Ala
Rfam family: tRNA
About the family: Transfer RNA (tRNA) molecules are approximately 80 nucleotides in length. Their secondary structure includes four short double-helical elements and three loops (D, anti-codon, and T loops).
Source: RNAcentral
UGGGGUUAUAGCUCAGCUGGUAGAGCACCAGAUUUGCAUUCUGGGGGUCAGGAGUUCGAAUCUCCUUAGCUCCAU